AACGAACGCUGGCGGCAGGCUUAACACAUGCAAGUCAAGGGGGCGUAGCAAUACGCAACCGGCGCACGGGUGAGUAAUGCAUGGGAACAUGUCCUAUAGUGGGGGAUAGCCUUUGGAAACGAAGGGUAAUACCGCAUAAUCCCUGAGGGGGAAAGAUUUAUCGCUUUAGGAGUGGCCCAUGUUGGAUUAGUUAGUGGGUGGGGUAAAGGCUUACCAAGACUAUGAUCCAUAGCUGGUCUGAGAGGACGAUCAGCCACAUUGGGACUGAGACACGGCCCAGACUCCUACGGGAGGCAGCAGUUAGGAAUAUUGGACAAUGGAGGAAACUCUGAUCCAGCCAUGCCGCGUGAGUGAAGAAGGCCUUCGGGUUGUAAAGCUCUUUUAUAUGGGAAGAUGAUGACGGUACCAUAGGAAUAAGCACCGGCUAACUUCGUGCCAGCAGCCGCGGUAA
This 451-nucleotide ribosomal RNA is filed under the name uncultured bacterium. RNAcentral's name for it is "partial 16S ribosomal RNA". It matches the Rfam family "Bacterial small subunit ribosomal RNA", at positions 29 to 523 of the family's 1533-position model. The record is from RNAcentral.